Molecule: ribosomal RNA, 506 nt
Filed under: uncultured bacterium
Lineage: Bacteria
Description: partial 16S ribosomal RNA
Rfam family: Bacterial small subunit ribosomal RNA
Source: RNAcentral
AGUGAACGCUGGCGGUAGGCCUAACACAUGCAAGUCGAACGGCAGCACAGGAGAGCUUGCUCUCUGGGUGGCGAGUUGCGGACGGGUGAGGAAUACAUCGGAAUCUACUUUUUCGUGGGGGAUAACGUAGGGAAACUUACGAUAAUACCGCAUACGACCUACGGGUGAAAGCAGGGGAUCUUCUGAACUCGCUCGAUUGAAUGAGCCGAUGUAGGAUUAGCUAGUUGGCGGGGUAAAGGCCCACAAAGGGGACGAUCCGUAGCUGGUCUGAGAGGAUGAUCAGCCACACUGGAACUGAGACACGGUCCAGACUCCUACGGGAGGCAGCAGUGGGGAAUAUUGGACAAUGGGCGCAAGCCUGAUCCAGCCAUACCGCGUGGGUGAAGAAGGCCUUCGGGUUGUAAAGCCCUUUUGUUGGGAAAGAAAUCCAGCUGGUUAAUACCCUGGGGUCAUGACGGUACCGUAAGAAUAAGCACCGGCUAACUACGUGCCAGCCGCCGCCGUAA